AUUGAACGCUGGCGGAAUGCUUUACACAUGCAAGUCGAACGGCAGCACGGGGGCAGCCCUGGUGGCGAGUGGCGAACGGGUGAGUAAUACAUCGGAACGUGCCCGGUCGUGGGGGAUAACGUAGCGAAAGUUACGCUAAUACCGCAUACGAUCUGAGGAUGAAAGCGGGGGACCUUCGGGCCUCGCGCGAUCGGAACGGCCGAUGUCAGAUUAGGUAGUUGGUGGGGUAAAGGCCUACCAAGCCGACGAUCUGUAGCUGGUCUGAGAGGACGACCAGCCACACUGGGACUGAGACACGGCCCAGACUCCUACGGGAGGCAGCAGUGGGGAAUUUUGGACAAUGGGCGCAAGCCUGAUCCAGCCAUUCCGCGUGCAGGACGAAGGCCUUCGGGUUGUAAACUGCUUUUGUACGGAACGAAAAGGCUCUGGCUAAUACCUGGGGCUCAUGACGGUACCGUAAGAAUAAGCACCGGCUAACUACGUG
RNAcentral lists this ribosomal RNA (484 nucleotides) under uncultured bacterium. RNAcentral describes it as "partial 16S ribosomal RNA". It matches the Rfam family "Bacterial small subunit ribosomal RNA", at positions 30 to 507 of the family's 1533-position model. The record is from RNAcentral.